AUCAGGGGUAAACCUGUGGAACUCGAACGAGCGAACGGGGAGAUUCAUCGUUCUCCGCGGGUCCGCGGGGGCGCGUUGUGCAUGCAYGGCGCUCGUCUCCGCGGCUCGCGGAGUGCGUGCACUCCUCCCUUAGUAAAACACCGCGACCCGUUGCUGGGUCGAACGCGCCGUGCGACUGUCCCGUCUCGCGAGAUGGAGUCGCGGCGUCGCGGCUCACGUGCGACGGUAAAGAACGAGGUUUGCGUCCGCUAGCGUCCGCGUUGCGGCGGCGGUUUCCCUCGGCCGGUCGGCGCGCGUCGGCCGACGAGGGGCGCCGUGUCUGCUGCAUCGGCUCGGACGGGACGCGUCCCGGUCUGCGGUGGUUUGUUUCGGGCACUCACAGGACCCGUCUUGAA
This 395-nucleotide ribosomal RNA is filed under the name Hydropsyche uvana. RNAcentral describes it as "partial 28S ribosomal RNA". Lineage: Eukaryota; Metazoa; Arthropoda; Insecta; Trichoptera; Hydropsychidae. The record is from RNAcentral.